Molecule: ribosomal RNA, 465 nt
Filed under: Vreelandella stevensii
Lineage: Bacteria; Pseudomonadati; Pseudomonadota; Gammaproteobacteria; Oceanospirillales; Halomonadaceae
Description: partial 16S ribosomal RNA
Rfam family: Bacterial small subunit ribosomal RNA
Source: RNAcentral
CCUACGGGGGGCUGCAGUGGGGAAUAUUGGACAAUGGGCGAAAGCCUGAUCCAGCCAUGCCGCGUGUGUGAAGAAGGCCUUCGGGUUGUAAAGCACUUUCAGUGGGGAAGAAAGCCUUGGGGCUAAUACCCUCGAGGAAGGACAUCACCCACAGAAGAAGCACCGGCUAACUCCGUGCCAGCAGCCGCGGUAAUACGGAGGGUGCGAGCGUUAAUCGGAAUUACUGGGCGUAAAGCGCGCGUAGGCGGUCUGAUAAGCCGGUUGUGAAAGCCCCGGGCUCAACCUGGGAACGGCAUCCGGAACUGUCAGGCUAGAGUGCAGGAGAGGAAGGUAGAAUUCCAGGUGUAGCAGUGAAAUGCGUAGAGAUCGGGAGGAAUACCAGUGGCGAAGGCGGCCUUCUGGACUAACACUGACGCUGAGGUGCGAAAGCGUGGGUAGCAAACAGGAUUAGAUACCCGGGUAGUC